This 1155-nucleotide long non-coding RNA is filed under the name Ricinus communis (castor bean). Its description in RNAcentral is "long non-coding RNA (RCOM_LNC003335)". The record is from RNAcentral. Lineage: Eukaryota; Viridiplantae; Streptophyta; Magnoliopsida; Malpighiales; Euphorbiaceae.
UCUAGUUGGAAGGUUGAAAACAUCUCUCUCUAUCAGAGAUUAAAACUAAGUCGGUAGUUUCACAACAAUAUUUCAAUCUUUUGGUAGUUAUUAGAUCCCUGGUUAAACAAUGAAGAUUGGCAAGGCAUACAGUUGAAAUGCACUGUAACUAUUGGGGCAUGAUGAGAUAAAAGAAGCCAUGUAUUGGUUUUUGCUUUUUCUCUUUUUUCUUAAACUUCUUAGCAGAUGAUGUCAGCUCCAAGUCCAGGCAUUGAGAAGUUGCAUGCUGUCACCUCAUAGCAGUACAGCUUCCUAUUGAUUCGAGAUUCUGUUGUCUUGGAAAAUUUUAAGGUAAACAAGUAAUAAUGAGUUUGAAUUAACUGCAAAUUUGCUGUUCUUUCUUAAGUUAAAAGUAUGAUGCAGGUUUUGUCAGGAAAAAAAGAAAGAAAGUAUUGCGCAGGUCCAUCUUAUCUUAAAUGCAAUGUAACCCUCCUCUAAUCUUUCUAGAAAGAAUAAAUAGAAGUAUUGCUUAGGUGCAGCCUUCCCAUAUUUCCAAGUUCAAUCAGAACAUGAAAUCAUACACUUUCCUCUUUUUUUCCCUUUAUUUUUUUUUUCUGCCUAAUGAAAGAUUUCAAGCACCAAGAAGUAUGUUGUCAAUUAUUUUAACAAUGCUUAUUGGGUGAUUUUCAUUUUCACCAAUGAAAAAGAUCCAUGCUUAUUUGACAUGUUCAAAAUUCCUGCUUCCAAGACUAGGUUUCCAGCUAACGAAAUGAGAAGCCAGCUAACUUGAUUUCCCAGUUACACUUGUUAAAUUGAGAUGCAUCGAAGGCCAAAAAGGACUUUGGAAAUACUCUUCGUUUGAGGAUUUUUCCAGCUCAAAUGACACUUAAAUCUGGUUGUCCCAGAAAAAUUGGAGCGAAAUUUCCAGUGAACAGAACCUUCAUAGUGGAGCCAAUGCUUCUUAAGAACAUCAUUUUAGAUCUGAAAUGAAGGGUCAGAUCGUUAAAACUCUAACCGGCUGUGUAUUCUUACAGCUACUUCCUGAAUUUUGGAACCACUAAACAGUUCCAGCAGGAUUGACCAUAAAGAGCUUCAAGUCACCAAUAUUCGUUUUACAAACACAACUAAAUUGUAUACCCCCAACAUAUUAUUACUUAGAUUUGUUAAAGUUCUUCA